RNAcentral lists this ribosomal RNA (994 nucleotides) under Mycoplasma sp. Tm24_2. RNAcentral describes it as "bacterial SSU rRNA". It matches the Rfam family "Bacterial small subunit ribosomal RNA", at positions 430 to 1428 of the family's 1533-position model. The record is from RNAcentral. Lineage: Bacteria; Bacillati; Mycoplasmatota; Mollicutes; Mycoplasmatales; Mycoplasmataceae.
CUGCUGUUAUACAGAAAGAAAAGAUAUAGGAGUGGAAAGCCUAUAUUAUGACGGUACUGUAUCAGAAAGUGACGGCAAACUAUGUGCCAGCAGCCGCGGUAAUACAUAGGUCACAAGCGUUAUCCGAAAUUAUUGGGCGUAAAGCGUCCGUAGGUUGUUUGUUAAGUCUGGAGUUAAAGACCGGUGCUCAACGCCGGCACGCUUUAGAUACUGGCAAACUAGAGUUAUAAAGAGGUAAGUGGAAUUUCAUGUGAAGCGGUGGAAUGCGUAGAUAUAUGAAAGAACACCAAUGGCGAAGGCAACUUACUGGUUAUAUACUGACACUGAGGGACGAAAGCGUGGGGAGCAAACAGGAUUAGAUACCCUGGUAGUCCACGCCGUAAACGAUGAUCAUUAGUUGGUGGGGGAACCCUCGCUAACGCAGCUAACGCAUUAAAUGAUCCGCCUGAGUAGUAUGCUCGCAAGAGUGAAACUUAAAGGAAUUGACGGGGACCCGCACAAGCGGUGGAGCAUGUGGUUUAAUUUGACGAUACGCGUAGAACCUUACCCACUCUUGACAUCCCUUGCAAAGCUAUAGAGAUAUAGUGGAGGUUAACAAGGUGACAGAUGGUGCAUGGUUGUCGUCAGCUCGUGUCGUGAGAUGUUCGGUUAAGUCCUGCAACGAGCGCAACCCCUAUCCUUAUUUACUAACAUUAAGUUGAGAACUAUACGGAUACUGCUCAGGUAACUGGGAGGAAGGUGGGGAUGACGUCAAAUCAUCAUGCCUCUUACGAGUGGGGCAACACACGUGCUACAAUGGCCGGUACAAAGAGACGCAAUAUGGUGACAUGGAGCAAAUCUGAAAAACCGGUCUCAGUUCGGAUUGAAGGCUGCAAUUCGCCUUCAUGAAGUCGGAAUCGCUAGUAAUCGUAGAUCAGCUACGCUACGGUGAAUACGUUCUCGGGUCUUGUACACACCGCCCGUCACACCAUGGGAGCCGGUAAUGCCCAAAGUC